This is a long non-coding RNA of Lytechinus variegatus (green sea urchin), 1633 nucleotides long. RefSeq lists it as uncharacterized. The record is from RefSeq and is a predicted model, not a curated record. NCBI's taxonomy places the organism in Eukaryota, Metazoa, Echinodermata, Echinoidea, Temnopleuroida, Toxopneustidae. The transcript is spliced from 5 exons.
AAAAACGCUGUACAAAAUAUCGCUGUAUAAGAGGUGCUGUAUAAUUUUUUGAACAGCACAUGUUUAAGCUUUGAUAAAUAUCGGUAUAAAACACGGCGAAUUGACCUGUUUAAGGUCCGUAGACAGAAGGCUUGAACAGGGGGUUGUACAAGAUACCGGCACAUGUAAAGCGCAUGCGUACGCGUGCGCAGUGCUAUGCUAGUGGUCGGAAGAUGGCGUUGAGUAUGUUCGACUCGGAGACUGCUGCAGUGCACUGGAAAAAUCGUGUUUAAUCUCCGUUUUAGAAAAUGAAAGAUUUGGGGGUGACAAACCUGCUUCAGGAGUGGGACUUCCCACAUUUAGUUCCAAUCUUUAGAGUUAAAUGUUGCAGAAGAUGAGCACGAAGUCACCUACUGGAUGCAAUAUUACUCAUCACCUGACAACAUUGUUGUUAAUGUGACGAACCUCGGUACUGAGAUAUGAGUUGACUAGAGGAAACCCGCGACCAAGCACAGCAGAAAUUCUUGACAAAUAUCUACAGCUUUUGGGAAUGAUUGAUCAAGACUUUGAUUUAACAAUUGAUGCAGCUCCUGGUGCCCUUUUCACAAUGUGGCCAAAGUUGUCCAGGCAGACUUUGGAAUUUGCGGAGAAGAUUAAUCCAGGGUAUAGAAAGAUCCUAGGGGCUGGAGUGGACCAGAAAAUGACGCAGAGUCAACAAUGAAGAAAAUUUGGCUUUCAGUACUUCCUGGGAUUUUGAUCGGCAGAACGAAAGGGGAAUGAGGCAAAUUAAAUGUGCCGUACUUCAAAGUCUUGAAUCUUUCAUCAAUCUCCAAUUAGAAGGAGCAUGAACAAAAAGAAGAUGAACAGGAAUUGACAAUGGCGCAUUCCAUACCUGGGAGUGAUUGCACAGUGGCACCCUUGGACCUAAUUUCACCCUGACAUCAAGUCUGUUUUAAGGAGAACCAUGAGAGAAAUUAAUAAAUUAAAGUUUGCCGAAUAUCAAAGAAUAACAGAGUUAUGAGGCUUCAAAGUUUUAAAUUUGUGACAUGACAUGCAAGCAGCUCCCAAUAUGUCAAUCAUGUAAUAUAAAUUCCAUAAAUUGCCAUUUUUUAAUGGUUUUCAUGAUAAUUAAAUGGGUUUUUAUCAGAAGCUUGUAUGAAAUAAUGUUUCUGAUAACAUUGAAUCCACAGGUAAAAUCAUUUUCCAAUUUCCCUAGAAAAGGCACUUGUAUAGAAUUGAUAUCACAUAAAAUAUGGGGAGCUGCUCGCAUGUGAAGUCACAAAUUUAAAACUUCAUAACUCUUAUUCUUGGUGGAUUUUCACCAACUAACAUGCAAUGUCAGGAUGAACCUUGCCUUUAAACCUUGUAUUGGCAGCCUUUCAUUGACAUUUACAUACAGUAUUUUAGGUUUUGUGAGCAAGUAUAUGAAAAAGGUGCUAAUUAACACCUACUUCCCCUUCUUAACCCUAACCAGGCCAGGGGGGGGGGGGGGUUUAAAACAACCUUCCCCCAACAUUAUCUGCGAUCAUUCCUCCGCGGGAGAUUUGUUGACCCUGCCACUCUCAAGAGUUUAUACUAAGUCUCGCGCAUCUUUUGAGACCAAAUUUACGAUGCCCAGGUACGUUGUCCCGAAAUUAUGCAACAUUUCGUAAGU